CUCGUCUGCAGUCUCACCAAGAAACUGACACGUUGCUCUCUCUAUCUCCUUCCUCCUCCUAGUUUUCCACUCCCUCUUCCUCGCUAUCUCUCCUUCUUCUUCCCUAUAGUUCCUCUACUCCUUCUUCCUCUCUCUCUUUCUCCCCCUCCCUCUAGUUUCCUACUCCUUCCUUCUCUCUCUUUCACUUUCACUCCCCUUCAGUCCUUCUUGGCGAAUCUUCCCAGAGAGAGAAAGCCACGAUUCACAUCAAGACUCAACUCUUGCUAAUUGCUAAUUAAUUAAUUAAUUAAUUAACUAACAGGUAAGAAAGCACCACAAUAUUACUGUUUGCUGUUUGAGUGUGACAUUAUGAAGAUCUGGCGCUUGCACGCCUCCUUCAUUAUAUACACACAUAUAUACAUACAUUCAUGUAUGUAUGAUACUAUGAUCAUGUAUGUAUAUAUGUGUGUGUAUAUAUAUAUAUAUAUAUAUAUAUAUAUAUAUAUGUGUGUAUAUGUGUGUGUAUAUAUAUAUGUGUGUGUGUGUGUGUGUAUGUAUAUAUAUAUAUGUGUGUGGGUGUAUAUAUAUAUAUAUAUAUAUAUAUGUGUGUGUGUGAUGUGUGUGUGUAGUCUAUUGGCCCAGUUAGGGGUACCUGUUGUUUUGAAAUCCGUCUUCGUAGGCAAUUAUUUAAUUACCUACCUUCCCUAUGGAUCUCUCACCAGUUCCUCCAGAGUCUGGGACUCAUGAGAGAUCGAUGGGAAACGUAAUAUUAUUCCCUAAUAUUAUUAUUAUUAUUAUACAUAUAUAUAUAUAUAACUUAGAAAGGUUUUGGCCAGUAUUGGCCCAGGCCAUGUCUAACUUAAUAGCACCACCUGGCUAUAUAUAUAUAUAUACAUAUAAUGUGUGUGUGUGUGUGUACGUAUUUGCGUCUAUGUUUGUCUCUUCACCUCCACCGAUGUUAGUGUGUUUACGUCCCUGUAACUUAGAGGUUUGGGCAAAAAAGUCCCUUGAAAUAAGUACUAGGUUUACAAAGAAUAAGUCCCGGGGUCGAUUUGUUCGAAACUAAAGUCGGUACUCCAGCAUGACCGGAGCCAAAUGACUGAAACCAGGCAAAUAAUAUAUAUACAUACACACACACACGUAUAUAUAUAUAAUAUACAUACACACACACAUACGUGUAUGCAUGUUGUAACAUAGUCAGACAUAAGAUAGCUUUUGGUCAUUUUCGAGGUCCACGUAGAAUGUACGUUUAGGAACAACUGAUAUAAACGGGAUCUUGUGUUUACCAUAUUCUUCAUUCGUCCGGACGUAAACACACACACACAUAUAUAUAUAUCUGUGUGUGUAUAUAUAUAUAUAUAUAUAUAUAUAUAGGUAGGGAGGUAUUAUCCUAAGUCAGAAUUUUUAAACAGUUAACAGAGCCGAAGGUUAUUAUUAUUAUUAUAUAGUCUACCGAUAUAGUUGGGGGUUACUUUAUGAUUCGAAAUCCCUACAUGUAAACAAUUACUUAACCCCCUAUGUUUCCCAUAGAUCUCUCAUGAGUCCCAGAUUCUAGGGGAAGUGGUGAGAGAUCCAUAGGGAACGUAGGCAAUUAAAUAAUUGUCUAUUUCUAGCAUAAGGGUGUCCACAUAGUGGUUUCUCUCUAAUAUGUAUAUAUAUAUAUCAUGAUUACCAUCGUUUGACGUCCGUUUUCUAUGCUUGCAUGGGUUGGACGGUUCGACUGGCGUCUGGGAUGCUAGGAGGCUGCACCAGGCCCCAAUCUGAUCUGGCAGUGUUUAUACAGCUGGAUGCCUUUUCUAACGCCAACCACUCAGUGUAGUGGAUGCUUUUUACGUGCCACUGGCACAAGGGGCCACAGAAUCUGGCAUCGACCACGAUCGGGUGACACACACACGAUGGGCUUCUUUCAGUUUCCAUCUACCAAAUCCACUCACAAGAAGCUUUGGUUGGUCCGAGGCUAUAGCAGAAGACAUUUGCCCAAGGUACCAUGCUGUGGGACUGAACCUGGAACCAUGUGGUUGGGCAGCAAGCUUCUUACCACACACCCACUCCUGUACAGAUGUAUAUACACUUUUUGGCAUACUCUCUCUUUUUACUCUUUUACUUGUUUCAGUCAUUUGACUGUGGCCAUGCUGGAGCACCGCCUUUAGUCGAGCAAAUCGACCCUGGGACUUAUUCUUUGUAAGCACAGUACUUAUUCUAUUGGUCUCUUUUGCCGAACCGCUAAGUGACGGGGACGUAAACACACUAGCAUCGGUUGUCAAGCAAUGCUAUGGAGACAAACACAGACACAUACACACACACAUAUAUAUAUAUAUACGACGGGCUUCUUUCAGUUUUCGUCUACCAAAUCCACUCACAAGGCAUUGGUCGGCCCAGGGCUAUAGCAGAAGACACUUGCCCAAGGUGCAACGCAGUGGGACUGAACCUGGAACCAUGUGGUUGGUUAGCAAGAUACUUACCACACAGCCACUCCUGUGCCUGUUUAUAUCCAUAAUAUAAAUUGGACAUGGGCGAUCGUUGUAUUCUUUCUUGUCUUCAGGUUCACAGCAAAACACCUGGGUGGAUUCGCAUGAAAAAUGGCACACAUGUAGAGACGGGUGCACAGAUUGGAAUGCAGUUUGUAUUUUUUUCCUAACCCCCAUACUUACCGGGAAAAUCGAUUAGAACUUAUAAUCGACUUAAUCCGUUUGUCCUCUCUGUGUUUAGCCCCUUGUGGGCAGUAGAGAAAUAGGUAUUUCGUCUGCCGUUACGUUCUGAGUUCAAAUUCUGCCGAGGUUGACUUUGCCUUUUAUCCUUUCAGAAUUGAUAAAAUAAGUACCAGUUACGCACUGGGGUCGAUAUAAUUGACUUAAUCCGUUUGUUUGUCCUCUCUGUGUUUAGCCCCUUGUGGGUAGUAAAGAAAUAGGUAUUUCUUCCGAUGCUACGUUCUGAGUUCAAAUUCUGCCGAGGUCGACUUUGCCUUUUAUCCUUUCGGGGUCGAUAGAUUAAAUACCAGCUGCAAACUGGAAUCAAUCUAAUCGACUGCCCCCCCUUGUGCCUAGAGUAGAAAAGAUUAUUAGGUCGACUUUGCCUUUGAAACCAAUAUUUUACCUGUCUUGUGUGUGUCCCCUUUUUUUUUCCAGAAUGAUCACAGACGUUCAGUUAGCCAUUUUUGCUAAUGCUCUUGGUGUUGGGCUUUUCCUGUUGGUGGUUCUCUACCAUUAUGUAGCAGUGAACCAUCCGAAGAAAAUGGAAUAGCACAUGUUACCAUCAUAAGGUAAGUUCAAUCGGACUCUGUCAUCCCUCGUCUCUUUUCCUUCUGGUAUUGAGUACUAACUUGGACUGAACUUUUUAUUGGCAGCAAGAGAAAGAGGGAUCAGUCUUCAUCAUCAUCAUCGUUUAACGUCCGUUUUCCCUGCUAGCACGGGUUGGAUGGUUCAACCGGGGUCUGGGAAGCCAGGAAGCUGCACCAGGUCAGUCUGCUCUGGCAGUGUUUCUACAGCUGGAUGCCCUUCCUAACGCCAACCACUCGGUGUAGUGGGUGCUUCUUACGUGCCACUGGCACAGGUGCCAGGGGAGGCUAGCAGCGGCCAUGAUCAGUUGGUGCCUUUUAUGUGCCACCGGCACAGAAGCCAGUCAAGGCAGCGCUAGCAUCGGCCAUGUUCGGAUGGUGCUUUUUACGUGCCUCCUAUUUAAAUUUAAAAUUUACCAUUAUAAUUUUUUCGUAAGAAUCUUUUGUUAAAUUGUAUUGCAAGCAUCAGCUUAAUAUUCCAGCAUGCAUCAUCAUCAUCAUCAUCAUCAUCAUUGUUUAACGUCCGCUUUCCAUGCUAGCAUGGGUUGGACUAUUUGACUGAGGUCUGGCGAACCAGAUGGCUGCACCAGGUUACGUUUGCGUUUUGUCCUGCUCCAAACACCAUUUUAAAUAAUAAUGUAAACGUUAUUUCUUUGUCGAAGAAGUGUGUUGUAGCUGGCUUGAAGCAUUGUGAUACAGAAGCAAAAUAAGUAAUGGAGAUGGAGAACUUCUUACAAUAAGAUAAAGGAAAAGUUAUAAUCUUCAUACUUCGAGCACAAAGGCUCAUCAUCAGUUCCAAACGGAAUAAAGAAAUGUCAGUCAAUCAACAUGACCAUUAUUGCAUUGACCUACAUUUCUUUAAUCCAUUCACUUCUGAUAAUGGGCCUUUGUGCCUGAAAUGUAGAGAUUAUAAAAUUUUUGCAAGUGUGAAUGUGUGUUAAGUUGCUUCCCAACCACAUGGUCCCAGGUUCAAUUCCACCAUGUGACACUUUGGGCGAGUGACUUCUGCCAUAGCCCUGCGCCAACCAAAGCCUUGUGAGUGGAUAUGGUAGGUGGAAACUGUGUGGAAGACUACCGUAUACGUAUUUUUCUUUUCUUUUUUCUUUUACUUGUUUCAGUCAUUUGACUGCGGCCAUGCUGGAGCACCGCCUUUAGUCGAGCAAAUCGACCCCGAGACUUAUUCUUUGUAAGCCCAGUACUUAUUCUAUCGGUCUCUUUUUGCUGAACCGCUAACUGACAGGAACGUAAACACACCAGCAUCGAUUGUCAAGCAAUGCUAGGGGGACAAACACAGACACACACACACAUACAUGCAUACAUAUAUAUACAUAUAUACGACAGGCUUCUUUCAGUUUCCGUCUACCAAAUCCACUCACAAGGCAUUGGUCGGCCCGGGGCUAUAGCAAAAGACACUUGCCCAAGAUGCCACGCAGUGGGACUGAACCCAGAACUAUGUGGUUGGUUAGCAAGCUACUUACCACACAGCCACUCCUGUACAUGUUUGUGUAUGUUUUAUAACUGUUUCUUUGCCAUGGUGUUGCAUGAUAAUUGUAAAUAAAUGUCACCACCACAUAAGCGGUGUCCAAUCUUCUGUGAAACCACGUUUUGUCAUGGGGAAAUAGUACCAUUCUUGGAAAUAGGUAAGGAUUGGCAACAGGAACAGGCAUCCAGCUGUAGAAAACCCACCUUAAUAAAAUUCCGCCGUACCCAUCCAAGCAUGGAGAAGUUGACAUUAAAAUGCCGAUGAUGAUUGUAAGAAGGCCUCUUUCUUCAUUUUUAAAAAUGUUUGUCUCCUAUUUGGCACAUAAAUAGCACCAUCCGAACGUGGCCGAUGCCAGCGCCGCCUUGACUGGCUUCCAUGCCAGUGGCACGUAAAAAGCACCAACUGAUUGUGGCCACUGCCAGCCUCCCCUGGCACGUAAAAAGCACCCACUACACUCACAGAGUGGUUGGCGUUAGGAAGGGCAUCCACCUGUAGAAACACUGCCAGAUCAGACUGGGCCUGGUGCAGCCUCCUUUCUUCCCAGACUCCAGUCGAACCGUCCAAGCCAUGCUAGCUUGGAAAACGAACGUUAAACGAUGAUGAUGAUGAUGAUAUUUCUGUUGUAUCUAAAAAAAAAACAAAAAGUAGUCGCGCAAAGCUAACUCUGUUUUAUUUCUUUUCUUACAGAUCACUUUAGAAUGAAUAAAUACACCAAAAACAAAUAUAUACAUAUAUAUAUAUGUAUAUAAAUACAUAUAUAUAUAUAUAUAUAUAAAAAUAAAAAAAAAUAAAACAGACCAAAAAGAUUCCUCAUGAAGACGUCUCAUUUGUUUUUGUAAGUCACUUCAGAUCAUCAAUAACUGGCCUAGUUUCACAUUCGGCCACAGCAUGACCUUCCCUGAUGGUUGUGCGAAUUAUUCAUCCAUAACAUGUUUGCUAACUAUGAAAUAAAAAUGAAUAGAAAUACAAAACC
RNAcentral lists this long non-coding RNA (5709 nucleotides) under Octopus vulgaris (common octopus). Lineage: Eukaryota; Metazoa; Mollusca; Cephalopoda; Octopoda; Octopodidae. The record is from RNAcentral.